GAUAAACGCUGGCGGCGUGCUUAACACAUGCAAGUCGAACGAAGUCUUUCUUUCGGGUGGCACUUAGUGGUGGACGGGUGAGUAACGCGUGGGUAACCUGCCCUGUACACUGGGACAACAGGUGGAACCGGCUGCUAAUACCGCAUAUACCCUUUGCACUGCAUGGUGCAUAGGGAAAAGACGCAAUCCGGUACAGGAUGGAAUCGCACCUGAUUAGCUGGUUGGCUGGGGGACGGCAUACCACAGCGACGAUCCGUAGCCGAUCUGAGAGGAUGUGCGGACACAUUGGGGGUGAGACACGGCCCAGACUCCUACGGGAGGCAGCAGUGGGGGAUAUUGCACAAUGGAGGGGACUCUGAUGCAGCGACGCUGCGAGAGUGAAGAAGUAUUUCGGGAUAUAAAGCUCUAUCAGCAGGAAAGAAAAUGACGGUACCUGAAGAAGAAGCACCGGCUAACUACGUG
This 462-nucleotide ribosomal RNA is filed under the name uncultured bacterium. Its description in RNAcentral is "partial 16S ribosomal RNA". It matches the Rfam family "Bacterial small subunit ribosomal RNA", at positions 28 to 507 of the family's 1533-position model. The record is from RNAcentral.